This is a non-coding RNA of Megalopta genalis, 1538 nucleotides long. The record is from RefSeq and is a predicted model, not a curated record. Lineage: Eukaryota; Metazoa; Arthropoda; Insecta; Hymenoptera; Halictidae.
GGCCGUCGUUGCGAGCGGAUAUGUCGACGCUCGUCCCACUUCCGCUAACCGGGAACGCGAACGUUGCAGCUGCGACGCAACUCGUGCACCGGUGAGAGAAAACGCGGAAACGAUCUGAAAAUCUCGCGAAAUCCCGGGGUCACGGGGACUUUUCAUCUGGAUCGGUGUGGGGAUCUGUGCGGACCGUUCCUCCUCGUUCGACGACGCGCGACGUCUGUUUGUGUCUCGGCGAUUAGCUCGUCGCCGACGUUCUCACACGAGAUUCGUACGUACAGUGUGUCGAGCUGGAAUUAUUGAAUGUUAUUGGACACGCGUGAGGGGGAACGGAGUGGGGGUGGUUCCGGGGUUGUUCCAGGGUGGUUCGGGGGUGGUGCAUUGUAACAUGGAGGCCCGGAGGCUGUUCCGGUUCCCGUGAAAUCACUGGGUUACUUUGCUACCGGAUAAACAUUCCGUGACGUGGCUUUGUUGCCCUUUCAAGAGUUGGCAUUGUUUGUUUAAAAUAGGAAGCUAAACAGUGCUGGUCAACUUUGUGGAUCCAACGCCGAAGAUCCUAGAGAUUUAGUAUCGGUAAUUUAGUAUCGAAAUGACUAAUGUAUUGGAGGGCAGUGUUCAAGUGACGUUCGUGGUUCAGCUUUGGAAAUCGUCAGCUAGAAGAAGGAAGAUUUUCAUCUUGACUCGUCGUUAUAGAGCCAAACGGAGUUUAGCUAGGAUAAAUGUAUCGCGGGUGAGUGCCUAAAUGACUCGGGGCAGAAAAAGAGAGCAAGAGAGAGUGGUGUGUAAAAAGGUUCCGGACGGUGGAUCCCGUGGACGGGGCUAAUCAGCGGUGUAAUUUCGAUUUUUCGUCUAGUCGACAAGAAUUACGCGGCGGAAAGGACGCUCGGCCGGUGUUGCGGAACGCGGAUUCCUGACCGCUCGACGGGAAAAGAAAAAACCGUGGACCAUUCCGCUGGAUCGUCCGAGGAUUAUCGUGUCCUGUCAUCCCAGGGAUCCGAUUUUAAUGAAAGCUUUUCACGAGACCGCCGACCGCUCCCUCGCCGCGUUCCCGAUUGACAGCGCCCCGUUGCCACCCCUGACGAAAUAAUGCGAGCGAAGCGCAUCGAGGAGGAGACGCGCUUCAGACUGCUAAGGUACACGCACCGCGCCAAGUGUCGCAAGAUCAUUUAGUCGGGGCAUCGGAGAUCAUUGAGAACAGACUGACGGAGGAGGAGACUGACACCGUAACCAACUCUCUCACCAACACCACCACCACCACCACUACCACCAAAACCACCUGGCUGUGAUUUCAUAACAUUCGACCCCCAUCAACGAUCCAUCGAACCUCUCUAGUGUUUGCUCGCGUGUGCGUUCGAGACGAGUGACAACACAACCAAUAAUCAUUAAUCGAAGCGGACACAUUCGGCGAGAAUACAGUGCGAAAUUCGGUGAGAUCGUGCCGCGGCUCGUCGUGAUCCGCCCGCGGACAGGAUCGCAGGAUCUUCGCUCGAUCCCAAAGGAAUUGGAGGAGACGGCUCGGCGAGGACGUUUUUCGGUGCCGGAUU